Molecule: ribosomal RNA, 253 nt
Filed under: uncultured bacterium
Lineage: Bacteria
Description: partial 16S ribosomal RNA
Rfam family: Bacterial small subunit ribosomal RNA
Source: RNAcentral
UACGGGGGGUGCGAGCGUUGUUCGGAAUCACUGGGCGUAAAGGGCGCGUAGGCGGUUUGCUAAGGGUGUGGUGAAAGCCCGGGGCUCAACCCCGGGUCUGCCGUGCCGACUGUCAAACUCGAGGGCUGUAGAGGCAGACGGAAUUCCGGGUGUAGCGGUGGAAUGCGUAGAGAUCCGGAGGAAGACCGGUGGCGAAGGCGGUCUGCUGGGCAGUUACUGACACUGAUGCGCGACAGCGUGGGGAGCAAACGGG